AUUGAACGCUGGCGGCAUGCUUUACACAUGCAAGUCGAACGGUAACAGGGUGCUUGCACCGCUGACGAGUGGCGAACGGGUGAGUAAUGCAUCGGAAUGUACCGUGUAAUGGGGGAUAGCUCGGCGAAAGCCGGAUUAAUACCGCAUACGCCCUGAGGGGGAAAGUGGGGGACCGAAAGGCCUCACGUUAUACGAGCAGCCGAUGUCUGAUUAGCUAGUUGGUGAGGUAAAGGCUCACCAAGGCGUCGAUCAGUAGCGGGUCUGAGAGGAUGAUCCGCCACACUGGGACUGAGACACGGCCCAGACUCCUACGGGAGGCAGCAGUGGGGAAUUUUGGACAAUGGGCGCAAGCCUGAUCCAGCCAUGCCGCGUGUCUGAAGAAGGCCUCGGUGUAA
This 395-nucleotide ribosomal RNA is filed under the name uncultured bacterium. RNAcentral describes it as "bacterial SSU rRNA". It matches the Rfam family "Bacterial small subunit ribosomal RNA", at positions 30 to 428 of the family's 1533-position model. The record is from RNAcentral.